This 75-nucleotide antisense RNA is filed under the name Streptomyces sp. BK208. RNAcentral's name for it is "ASpks TB sRNA". It matches the Rfam family "ASpks TB sRNA". Lineage: Bacteria; Bacillati; Actinomycetota; Actinomycetes; Kitasatosporales; Streptomycetaceae. The record is from RNAcentral.
CUUCAACGACCCCAGCAACAAAGGACGUUCAGGCUCCCGGCCCUGCCCGUACGUCGCCAGCAGCGCCUGCGCCUC